UCGAGAAAUCGGGAAAUCGAGAAAUCGAGAAAGCGAAAACGCGAAAUCGAGAAAGCAAGAAAGCAAAAACGCGAAAGCGAAAACGGGAAAUAGAUUUCUCGGUUUCGCGUUUUCGCUUUCUCGAUUUCGCGUUUUCGCUUUCUCGAUUUCUCGAUUUCCCGAUUUCCCGAU
This 171-nucleotide small RNA is filed under the name Mytilus galloprovincialis (Mediterranean mussel). Lineage: Eukaryota; Metazoa; Mollusca; Bivalvia; Mytilida; Mytilidae. The record is from RNAcentral.